UGCAGCCCAGCUGGAUC
RNAcentral lists this small RNA (17 nucleotides) under Arabidopsis thaliana (thale cress). Lineage: Eukaryota; Viridiplantae; Streptophyta; Magnoliopsida; Brassicales; Brassicaceae. The record is from RNAcentral.